RNAcentral lists this long non-coding RNA (3205 nucleotides) under Zostera marina. Its description in RNAcentral is "long non-coding RNA (ZMAR_LNC003830)". Lineage: Eukaryota; Viridiplantae; Streptophyta; Magnoliopsida; Alismatales; Zosteraceae. The record is from RNAcentral.
UAGAACUGAGGCUGAUACUAUUGCUUCUUUAAAUGUCAAGAAGCUCUUGUUUGCUAAUUCACUCCAUCUAAAUUGAUCUUUUUUUAACAAGUCUGUCAUGGGAGCUGCCAAAUGAGAGUAAUUUUUAACAAAUUUUCUAUAAUACCCUGAAAGUCCUAGAAAUCCCCUCAAGGUUUUAAUAUUCUUUGGUAUUGGCCAGUUGACAAUGGCAGAGAUAUUCUCUGGGUCAGGAUUAACUCCAUUCCCUGAUAUUAUGUGCCCCAAAAAUUGUAGUUCAUUCUGAAAAAAUAGGCACUUAGAUUGUUUUGCAUAGAACUGAUUUUUUCUAAGUGUGUCCAGAACUGUCCUCAGAUGGAUCAAAUGGUCCUCUCUGGAAGAACUGAAAAUAAGAAUGUCAUCAAAGAAGAUUAGUACAAAUUUUCUUAAAAAUGGAGAAAAUAAUCUGUUCAUAGUAGCUUGAAAAGUUGUCGAGGCAUUAGUAAGCCCAAAAGGCAUCACUAGGAACUCAUAAUGUCCCUGAUGAGUUCUGAAAGCUGUUUUCUCCACAUCAUUUGGAUUUAUCAAUAUUUGAUGGUAACCCCAUCUAAGGUCCAAUUUUGAGAAUAUUUUACUCCCUUUUAAUUCAGCCAGAAUUUCAUUCACUGUUGGUAUAGGGAAUUUAUCUUUGAUAGUUAUUUUAUUUAAGGCCCUAUAAUCCACACACAGCCUCCAACUACCAUCUUUUUUUUACAAGUAGAACUGGGGAAGAGUAGGGGUUGCUGCUCUCCCUAAUUAUCUGCUGCCUUAACAUCUCUUGGACUAUCCUUUCAAUUUCAUCCUUUUGGAACUGUGCCUGCCUAUAAGGUCUAACACUGACCAGAUCAGCUAGAUUUUCAAGUGUGAUGUUGUAGAAUUGUGACCUUGCUGGUGGUAAUCCUGUUGGCUCAGUGAACACAUCACAAAACUCAUUUAGAAUGGGGUUCAGUUCUCCUUCCUGAAUUUCAGAAUUACUGAAUUUUUUUUGUUCUUCCUCUUUUAAUUCCCCAACAUAUUCAAAUCUGCAAAAGAAAGCCCCUGCAGUUGUUGUAGCCAAUGAAUUCAUCUCAUUCUUUGAUAAUUGUUCAUCAGAUAGUAUUGAUUCCCCCAUCCAUUUAAUUCUUUCACCGUUCCAAUUAAAUUCAAUGUUCAUGUCAGUAUAGUUGGAUAGGAUUGACCCAACAAUUUUGAACCAUUGAAUUCCUAAAACCAAGUUGGCCCCCUCCAUGUUUAACACAAACAUGUCUAUGGUCAUUGUCACCCCUUGGACAGUCAUUUUCACCAACUUACACAUCUUGUCACAUCUCAAGGAAACUCCACUGCCUGUUGACACCAAAAAUGAGGGAAUGGGUGUGAUUGGCAAUCUUAACUUCCUUGCUACUUCCUCUUGAAGAAAAUUAUGGGUUGACCCCGAAUCUAAUAAAACAAAGACCUUCAUAUUAUUAUUAUUGGCUGAAAGUUUCAGAGUUUUCUUGGACUUAGCUGUCCUUGGAGAGAGUAGUAGCUGAUGUGAGUGUGCUCAACUCUAAUUUUUUCAACUGCAUCCACAAAUUGCUUUUCCUCCUCAUUGGGUUCUGUAAAUUCAGCAAAACAUUCUCCAUCAGCUGAUAGUAGGAACAAUCUUCCUUUGCACUUAUGGCCUCUUUCUCAUUUUUCAGUGCAAUUAAAAUACUUAUUCUUUGACCUUUUAAUUCUCAUUUCAGCUGGAGUAAUUUUCUGUCUUAACAUAGGUCCUUUCUGAUAUUCAGUAGGUGGUAAUGAUAGUGCCUUCCUAUGUGGUGGAAUGUAUGGUUGCAAGGGUCCAGAUUGUUUUGAACUCCCUUCCACUGCCAAAGCUCUUGAAGUGGGCAGUAUCUCACUAUGUCAGUGGACAUAUCACUUAUUUCAUAAAGUUGGGCUAGGGCAAAUGCUUCUACUAAAUUUUCAGGCCUUGCUUUGAUGACAUCUUUCUGAAUUUUAUUUUUUAGACUAGACAUGAACAUUUCUUUCAUGACCCUUGGAUUGAUAUCAAUUACUUUGUUUGAUAAGGCUUCAAACUGAUGUUGAUAGUCUUUUACAGACCCAGUUUGCAUUAAUUUACUCAAUCUUCCUGCAGGUAUCUCAUAGGAAGAAGUCCCAAAUCUUCUGAUUAGGUCAUCAAGAAAAUCAGACCAAGAUUUGAGUUCAUUGUUGCUGUCAGCCCAUAGAAGCCACUCCAAAGCUUCUCCCUUCAUAUUAAAUGUAGCAACUGUAAUUCUCUCUUCAUCAGGUAUAUUAUGAUACCUUAAAUACUUCUUUGCUUUGUAUAUCCAGCCUUGCACAUUUUCUCCAUCGAAUUUGGGCAUUUCUGUUCUGAAUUUGUGAAUCUGAAUUACUCAUUAGCAAUAGUGUCUCACUCAUUUUGGAUAGAGUUUGUUCCAUAUUCCUCAAUCUUUCAACCUCAGUGUCUUGCUUUAUUUGUAGUCUUUUGAGUUGAACAUCCAUUGAUUCAGCCAUCACUAUUUUUUUGCGAACUGGAAUUUUUUUUUUACUGAAUAGAAACUAAAAAUAAGAUAUGGUGAUUUGAUUACGUCCCUGAUCCGGAUUUCUUAAGCAGAGAACAAGCUUUGGAGAGUUGUUUGUAAGUUUUUUUGUUGUAGGUUUUACAAAAUCUUCUUUAGCUUUUCUUCCAGAUCUAAACAAAAACAAAUGUCGUAUUCAAUAACAGUGAUUAUUAUUGAUUAGAUAGGAUUUAUACAUUCCUGUUUUGGAUCUUUUAAGCAGAGAACAUGCUUUUGAAUUGUUUUUUUUUUCCAGGAUGUAGUCUCUUUCUUCUGAAGAUCUUCAAAUGAUCCCUGGACUGUGAGCAGAAUCUAGUGGGCGAGAGGGCUUGAAAGCACCAAUGAUAGAAGGAACUUGGGGAGUUUGGUGAUAGGCGGCUGGAAAAUCCAAUGGAACAGCAGCAAGCAGCAAGACUAGAGUUGCUUCAACCCAGAUUUGUUUUUAAGAAAUUGUAAAUAAAUUGAUUACUGAAUUUAAUAAUAGAGUUUCCCUUUUAUAGGUUUCCGUUUUCAGACACCACUUAAUUAAACAGUUCCUGUGGCACAUCUGUAAUAAAACUAAAUACUAAAAUUCAACUUGAAAUCCCUUAAGUCUAGUUGACUCUUUCUUAUUUCUCGUCGACCGGCGUGUUUCCUCCGCGAUGUUCGCCGGCUCUUCCUCCGUCGCCGGC